RNAcentral lists this unclassified non-coding RNA (153 nucleotides) under soil metagenome. RNAcentral's name for it is "partial internal transcribed spacer 1". The record is from RNAcentral.
CAGAGUUAUCCAACUCCCAACCCAUGUGAACUUAUCUCUUUGUUGCCUCGGCGCAAGCUACCCGGGACCUCGCGCCCCGGGCGGCCCGCCGGCGGACAAACCAAAACUCUUGUUAUCUUAGUUGAUUAUCUGAGUGUCUUAUUUAAUAAGUCA